UACAGAGGUCUCAAGCGUUGUCCGGAUUCAUUGGGCGUAAAGGGUGCGUAGGUGGCGCCGUAAGUCGGGUGUGAAAUUUCGGAGCUUAACUCCGAAACUGCAUUCGAUACUGCGGUGCUUGAGGACUGGAGAGGAGACUGGAAUUCAUGGUGUAGCAGUGAAAUGCGUAGAGAUCAUGAGGAAGACCAGUGGCGAAGGCGGCUCUCUGGAACGCAACUGACGCUGAGACGCGAAAGCGUGGGGAGCAAACAGG
Molecule: ribosomal RNA, 253 nt
Filed under: uncultured bacterium
Lineage: Bacteria
Description: partial 16S ribosomal RNA
Rfam family: Bacterial small subunit ribosomal RNA
Source: RNAcentral